This 223-nucleotide ribosomal RNA is filed under the name uncultured bacterium. RNAcentral describes it as "partial 16S ribosomal RNA". It matches the Rfam family "Bacterial small subunit ribosomal RNA", at positions 111 to 334 of the family's 1533-position model. The record is from RNAcentral.
UAACGCGUGGGGAACCUGCCCUAUACAGGGGGAUAACAGCUGGAAACGGUUGCUAAUACCGCAUAAGCGCACAGAAUCGCAUGAUUCAGUGUGAAAAGCCCUGGCAGUAUAGGAUGGUCCCGCGUCUGAUUAGCUGGUUGGUGAGGUAACGGCUCACCAAGGCGACGAUCAGUAGUCGGCUUGAGAGAGUGAACGGCCACAUUGGGACUGAGACACGGCCCAA